UACGAAGGGGGCUAGCGUUGUUCGGAUUUACUGGGCGUAAAGGGCGCGUAGGCGGCCACUGCAAGUCGGUUGUGAAAUCUCCGGGCUUAACCCGGAAAGGUCAGCCGAUACUGCAGGGCUAGAGUGCAGAAGGGGCAACUGGAAUUCUCGGUGUAGCGGUGAAAUGCGUAGAUAUCGAGAGGAACACCUGCGGCGAAGGCGGGUUGCUGGGCUGACACUGACGCUGACAGCGCGAAAGCUAGGGGAGCGAACGGG
This 255-nucleotide ribosomal RNA is filed under the name uncultured bacterium. Its description in RNAcentral is "partial 16S ribosomal RNA". It matches the Rfam family "Bacterial small subunit ribosomal RNA", at positions 524 to 776 of the family's 1533-position model. The record is from RNAcentral.